UGAGGGGGAGAAUCUGAAAUCUUAAGAAAGCAAAUUCAUUAAUCACAUAUAAGCCAAACAAUUGAUUGCAUGAUUUGAAGGCUUAUAUAAUUUCAAAUGAAAGAGGGAGCUUUAAUUUCAGGAUUUACUGUUUCAUACCUUUUAAUUUUGGAUAAAUUAAAUGACUAGACAUUUGAAUUCAUUUCAAAACUUUACUAUAAAUUACCUCUUGGUUGAGCAAUUNNNNNNNNNNNNNNNNNNNNAGCUUUAAUUUCAGGAUUUACUGUUUCAUACCUUUCAAUUUUGGAUAAAUUAAAUGACUAGACAUUUGAAUUCAUUUCAAAACUUUACUAUAAAUUACCUCUUGGUUGAGCAAUUCACUUUACAAAUACUCAAUGUUUUGUCAUCAUCAAAAAGGAGGAAAUUGUGGAGUGAUUGAUUAUACCCCUAUUUGAUUUUGAUGAGCUCAAAGCAUUUGAGUAUAUUUCAUGUUCUACUAAUGAAUUCAAUCUAGUGUUUCAGGCAAAUAUAUGUGAAUUUAUCUUUAAGAGCAUCGAGCUUUGGUUCAAAGAAUUUUGGCUAAGUGUUGAACUCAAUUAAGCCAAAGUCUGAAUCUCGAGUCGACUCCAGAAGAUUACGAGUCGACUCUAAGUGUUUCAGAGGUUCUGGCACAAGCUCGAGUCGACUCCAGUACACUACGAGUCGACUCCGACUGAGAACAGACAGA
RNAcentral lists this long non-coding RNA (706 nucleotides) under Phoenix dactylifera (date palm). RNAcentral's name for it is "long non-coding RNA (PDAC_LNC004783)". The record is from RNAcentral. Lineage: Eukaryota; Viridiplantae; Streptophyta; Magnoliopsida; Arecales; Arecaceae.